UUGAAUCCUCAGGAUGUUGCUGGCCUUUCGGGGCAUGUGCACUCCUACCUUUCAAUACACCUGUGAACUUAUUGUAGGUGGCAUAUGUCACCUAUGUUUUUACAAACCCCUUAACAAGUUAUUGAAUGUCUAAUAAAUGGCUUUGGCCAAUAAACAUUAAUA
Molecule: unclassified non-coding RNA, 162 nt
Filed under: uncultured Agaricales
Lineage: Eukaryota; Fungi; Basidiomycota; Agaricomycetes; Agaricales
Description: sequence contains ITS1
Source: RNAcentral